This 485-nucleotide ribosomal RNA is filed under the name uncultured bacterium. RNAcentral's name for it is "partial 16S ribosomal RNA". It matches the Rfam family "Bacterial small subunit ribosomal RNA", at positions 899 to 1397 of the family's 1533-position model. The record is from RNAcentral.
ACUCAAAUGAAUUGACGGGGACCCACACAAGCGGUGGAACAUGGGGUUUAAUUCGAUAGUAAACGAAGCACCUCACCCAGGCUUGACAUCUCGGGAAUCCGGUCGAAAGGUCGGAGUGCCGCAAGGAACCCGAAGACAGGCGCUGCACGGUUGUCGUCAGCUCGUGCCUUGAGGUGUACUGUUAAGUCAGCGAACGAGCGCAACCCUCAUCCUAUGUUGCUUUUUCAUAGGAGACUGCCGCCUCCAAGGCGGAGGAAGGUGAGGAUGACGUCAAAUCAGCGUGGCCUUUAUGCCUGGGGCAACACCCAUGUUACAAUGGCCGAUACAAUGGGCAGCGAAACCGCGAGGUCGAGCGAAUCCCACCAAAGUCGGUCUCAGUUCGGAUUGCAGGCUGCAACUCGCCUGCAUGAAGUUGGAAUCGCUAGUAACCGUAAAUCAGCGAUGUUACGGUGAAUAAGUUCCUGGGUCUUGUACACACCGCCCGU